This is a long non-coding RNA of Homo sapiens (human), 1632 nucleotides long. Ensembl annotates it as long intergenic non-protein coding RNA 2290. The record is from Ensembl. Lineage: Eukaryota; Metazoa; Chordata; Mammalia; Primates; Hominidae.
AGUCCAAUCACUGUGGCCUGGAGGAUGGGACACCAUGAUUUGCAAGACUCUGGUCACAUGCCCACACCUGUGGCUUCUGAAGCAGAGCACCAGCAGUGACAGUCCCACCAGAACCGCAUGGAAUAGAAAACUGUGCAUUUCCCUAAGGAAAGGGAAUGCCAGAGAAGGGCAGAAGGGAAAUCAGGAAGACAAAACGGUAAAUUACCUACCACAAAUCCAAUUCAUUGGUAUUUUUCCACUUACACUUAACCAAGCAACGAUUUCUCCUGGUCCCAUAAUGGAAAAGAGGGUUUAUCUAGAUUCAUAUAUACAAGACUGAAGAGUGAAGAGAGACCCAGAGAAUGUUCUAAAAUCUGCCAGUUAGCAUAAUCACACAGAGAAAUCUCUGCUUCCAGAGGAGGAGCCAAGUUCAAGUCAGAGUGUCUUCAUGUUGGAGUGGACCUUUCCUCUAUCUGUCAACAGAAUGGAUAAAUUGUGGAAGAGUAAUAUCAGAAUACUACACAUCAGUAAAAAACAACAAACUUCUGCUACAAACAAUCAACAUCGAUGAAUCUUUCAGGCAAAAGGGCAAAGAAAAGUAUUGGUCUUCCAAAACAAAUAGAGGACGGAGCUGCUGCUGUUGCAUGGUGUCUAGAAACUCAGACAACUUCAUCAUUCCAUAUUUGCAUCCAAGAGAGAGAAAGAAAAACUACAAUCAUUUUCCAUUUACCCAUCAACCCAUCAACCUCCAAAUAAAGGCUAUUAAAAAACAAUCAAAGUGUGAAGAGGGCAGAAAAUGUGAUGAAGAGAUUCUUUGGAGAAAGUAGCUGCCACUGUUACCUUGGGAUCUGCCUAUAGUCCUCACAGAGCUUGCCCUUGCAGGAUAGAACAUAGGAGUCUGGGAGUCUGCAAGAAGACAGGGUCUCACUAUGUUGCCCCAGUUGGCCUUGAACUGCUGGACUCAAGGGAUCCUCCUGCCUCAGCAUCCUGAGUAGCUGGGUCUACAGGCAUGAACCACCAGGCCCAGAACCCUGUCUUUUGAAAGCCAUAUGCGAUCUGUCUGCCCUGAAGUGACUACUUCAUCUCCAACCAGCCCUUGGCUGGCAAAGUCAGGAAGACUCCAGUCUUUCCUGAAGACCAGGGGAGAGUUUAUAACUCUAGCAUCAAAGUCAGCAGCUGUUCAUCUAGAAGACAACUUCCCAAAAGUCAAUGUCUUUGCCUGAAGCUUUUCUUCCCAGAUCUCCUAUGGUGAAACAACCAAAGGGAAGAAGAAUGUGGGCAGCCCUCAGUAAGACAGGAGAUGAGCAUCAACAUUGACCCAUUCUUUCUUCCAGUCCUCGAUGCUUACCUUGUACAUUCUUCUUUGUCUUCCGACUCAGUGCCUUUAGGGUAUGGACGUUGCCUGGUCCCACACAAGCCAAGCAUCAAAUGGAUGGCUCAACAAGGAGGCCAAGACCAGCUAAUGUUUAGUGAGCACCCAAAGGGGCCACACUGGAGAGAACAGCACAGCUCCGUCUGAGAAACAGCUGUUCCUUCCUGCCUGAGAGGCAGAGUGAUAGAAGAUAUCACAGAAUGUUGCUGCUUUGUCUUCCACCCUGAACCCUCCACGACCUCCCUGUAGCUUCCUGAUUUUAAGUAGACAUCAAAUGAUUC